This 105-nucleotide small nucleolar RNA is filed under the name Chlamydomonas reinhardtii. RNAcentral describes it as "CrCD17a snoRNA". Lineage: Eukaryota; Viridiplantae; Chlorophyta; Chlorophyceae; Chlamydomonadales; Chlamydomonadaceae. The record is from RNAcentral.
UUUGUCCGCGGAUGACCUUUACGUAAUUAUCCUUAUCUACAUUGCCUGACAUGUCCCGCUCGACACGGGAAUGCGGUGAUGACAACCAGAACGCCUGAGGACAAA